UAGGGAAUCUUCGGCAAUGGGGGCGAACCCUGACCGAGCAACGCCGCGUGAGUGAAGAAGGUUUUCGGAUCGUAAAGCUCUGUUGUAAGAGAAGAACGUGUGUGAGAGUGGAAAGUUCACACAGUGACGGUAACUUACCAGAAAGGGACGGCUAACUACGUGCCA
This 165-nucleotide ribosomal RNA is filed under the name uncultured bacterium. RNAcentral's name for it is "partial 16S rRNA". It matches the Rfam family "Bacterial small subunit ribosomal RNA", at positions 355 to 510 of the family's 1533-position model. The record is from RNAcentral.